UCGUGAGUUCGAUGAGUAGGGCGGGACACGUGACAUCCUGUCUGAAUAUGGGGGGACCAUCCUCCAAGGCUAAAUACUCCUGACUGACCGAUAGUGAACCAGUACCGUGAGGGAAAGGCGAAAAGAACCCCGGCGAGGGGAGUGAAAUAGAACCUGAAACCGUGUACGUACAAGCAGUGGGAGCACCUUCGUGGUGUGACUGCGUACCUUUUGUAUAAUGGGUCAGCGACUUAUAUUUUGUAGCAAGGUUAACCGUAUAGGGGAGCCGUAGGGAAACCGAGUCUUAACUGGGCGAAUAGUUGCAAGGUAUAGACCCGAAACCCGGUGAUCUAGCCAUGGGCAGGUUGAAGGUUGGGUAACACUAACUGGAGGACCGAACCGACUAAUGUUGAAAAAUUAGCGGAUGACUUGUGGCUGGGGGUGAAAGGCCAAUCAAACCGGGAGAUAGCUGGUUCUCCCCGAAAGCUAUUUAGGUAGCGCCUCGUGAACUCAUCUUCGGGGGUAGAGCACUGUUUCGGCUAGGGGGCCAUCCCGGCUUACCAAACCGAUGCAAACUCCGAAUACCGAAGAAUGUUAUCACGGGAGACACACGGCGGGUGCUAACGUCCGUCGUGAAGAGGGAAACAACCCAGACCGCCAGCUAAGGUCCCAAAGUCAUGGUUAAGUGGGAAACGAUGUGGGAAGGCAUAGACAGCCAGGAUGUUGGCUUAGAAGCAGCCAUCAUUUAAAGAAAGCGUAAUAGCUCACUGGUCGAGUCGGCCUGCGCGGAAGAUGUAACGGGGCUAAACCAUGCACCGAAGCUGCGGCAGCGACGCUUAGGCGUUGUUGGGUAGGGGAGCGUUCUGUAAGCCGUUGAAGGUGGCCUGUGAGGGUUGCUGGAGGUAUCAGAAGUGCGAAUGCUGACAUAAGUAACGAUAAAGCGGGUGAAAAGCCCGCUCGCCGGAAGACCAAGGGUUCCUGUCCAACGUUAAUCGGGGCAGGGUGAGUCGACCCCUAAGGCGAGGCUGAAAAGCGUAGUCGAUGGGAAACAGGUUAAUAUUCCUGUACUUGGUGUUACUGCGAAGGGGGGACGGAGAAGGCUAGGCUAGCCGGGCGACGGUUGUCCCGGUUUAAGCGUGUAGGGGGUGUGACCUGGUAAAUCCGGUUGCAUAUUAACCCUGAGGCGUGAUGACGAUGCACUACGGUGCAGAAGUAGUUGAUGCCCUGCUUCCAGGAAAAUCCUCUAAGCUCCAGGUAACAUUAAAUCGUACCCCAAACCGACACAGGUGGUCAGGUAGAGAAUACCAAGGCGCUUGAGAGAACUCGGGUGAAGGAACUAGGCAAAAUGGUGCCGUAACUUCGGGAGAAGGCACGCUGGCAUGUAGGUGAAGUCCCUCGCGGAUGGAGCUGAAGCCAGUCGAAGAUACCAGCUGGCUGCAACUGUUUAAUAAAAACACAGCACUGUGCAAACACGAAAGUGGACGUAUACGGUGUGACGCCUGCCCGGUGCUGGAAGGUUAAUUGAUGGGGUCAGCCGCAAGGCGAAGCUCUUGAUCGAAGCCCCAGUAAACGGCGGCCGUAACUAUAACGGUCCUAAGGUAGCGAAAUUCCUUGUCGGGUAAGUUCCGACCUGCACGAAUGGCGUAAUGAUGGCCAGGCUGUCUCCACCCGAGACUCAGUGAAAUUGAACUCGCUGUGAAGAUGCAGUGUACCCGCGGCAAGACGGAAAGACCCCGUGAACCUUUACUAUAGCUUGACACUGAACAUUGAGCCUUGAUGUGUAGGAUAGGUGGGAGGCUUUGAAGCGUGGACGCCAGUCUGCGUGGAGCCAUCCUUGAAAUACCACCCUUUAAUGUUUGAUGUUCUAACUCGGCCCCAUAAUCUGGGGUGAGGACAGUGUCUGGUGGGUAGUUUGACUGGGGCGGUCUCCUCCCAAAGAGUAACGGAGGAGCACGAAGGUUAGCUAAUCACGGUCGGACAUCGUGAGGUUAGUGCAAAGGCAUAAGCUAGCUUGACUGCGAGAGUGACGGCUCGAGCAGGUACGAAAGUAGGUCUUAGUGAUCCGGUGGUUCUGAAUGGAAGGGCCAUCGCUCAACGGAUAAAAGGUACUCCGGGGAUAACAGGCUGAUACCGCCCAAGAGUUCAUAUCGACGGCGGUGUUUGGCACCUCGAUGUCGGCUCAUCACAUCCUGGGGCUGAAGUAGGUCCCAAGGGUAUGGCUGUUCGCCAUUUAAAGUGGUACGCGAGCUGGGUUUAGAACGUCGUGAGACAGUUCGGUCCCUAUCUGCCGUGGGCGUUGGAAGAUUGAGAGGGGUUGCUCCUAGUACGAGAGGACCGGAGUGAACGCACCACUGGUGUUCGGGUUGUCAUGCCAAUGGCAUUGCCCGGUAGCUAAGUGCGGAAAAGAUAAGCGCUGAAAGCAUCUAAGCGCGAAACUUGCCUCAAGAUGAGUCUUCCCUGGGCCUUUAAGGCCCCUGAAGGAACGUUUAAGACUAAGACGUUGA
This 2483-nucleotide ribosomal RNA is filed under the name Serratia marcescens. RNAcentral's name for it is "bacterial LSU rRNA". It matches the Rfam family "Bacterial large subunit ribosomal RNA", at positions 397 to 2856 of the family's 2925-position model. Lineage: Bacteria; Pseudomonadati; Pseudomonadota; Gammaproteobacteria; Enterobacterales; Yersiniaceae. The record is from RNAcentral.